Long non-coding RNA from Mauremys reevesii (Reeves's turtle), 755 nucleotides. RefSeq lists it as uncharacterized. The record is from RefSeq and is a predicted model, not a curated record. NCBI's taxonomy places the organism in Eukaryota, Metazoa, Chordata, Testudines, Geoemydidae. The transcript is spliced from 3 exons.
CAGAUAUAGCUCCAAACAUUCAUUCUCUGACUACUAAACAGGAUAACCCCUUUUGUCUUGGUGUUUCCUGCAAUCUCAGAAGCUGGGACUAGGGGACUGAAGGGCCAAAAUCCAUGAAUGUAUAUGUAAGAUCUUAACCAGAGUUUCUGUUAAGAACUUUUCAUAUAGUCCACAGCUUGGUCUGGGGCAUGAGGGCCAGCUAACAAGGAACAAUAUAUGGCUAGAAGAAAGCUGGGGUAGACAGACAACCUUGUGUGUUUCAACUAGACAAGCGGAGUCACCAUAACUCCAGAUGGUUAAUGAUUAGCAUUGUGCUCAGACUGUAAAUGGGCGCCGGUGGUGAACCAUCCAGUCCUUCAUUCAGACGUGACAAACCCAAGAGUUUGUUACACUCACAGGGAGCAGGAGAUCUGCAAGAGAUCUGAACAGAGCAAUAGACACCACAGCCAAGUGUUACCGUAGAACAUUUCAAGUAUCAUGGCAGAGUGAGGAGCAAGGUGAAACAGUAGCUGCGUACGUGGAAGAACUAAAAACAUUAGCUGACUAGCGAUUGGUUGGAAAUGUCCUAUGUGCUGCAGCGGAGAUUAGUGACACUACAAACCAAUGAGGGAAUUCAAAGAUGAUUGCUGGCAGAAGGGGACGUAACCUGGCCCAAAGCAACAGACUGAGCAACAGCAAUGGAAGCAGCAGUGAAAAAAACUUACAAGCUUUGCACUUAAAAUGAAGGGACAAAUCGAAGUGACUCAGGAGCCUGA